This 824-nucleotide ribosomal RNA is filed under the name uncultured Porphyromonas sp. RNAcentral describes it as "bacterial SSU rRNA". It matches the Rfam family "Bacterial small subunit ribosomal RNA", at positions 92 to 917 of the family's 1533-position model. The record is from RNAcentral. Lineage: Bacteria; Pseudomonadati; Bacteroidota; Bacteroidia; Bacteroidales; Porphyromonadaceae.
CGACCGGCGCACGGGUGCGUAACGCGUAUGCAACCUACCUGUAAUUAGGGGAUAACCCGGUGAAAGUCGGACUAAUACCCUAUAUUCUUCUUUAUUCGCAUGGAUAUGGACGGAAAGAUUAAUUGAUUACAGAUGGGCAUGCGUCCCAUUAGCUGGUUGGUAAGGUAACGGCUUACCAAGGCAACGAUGGGUAGGGGGACUGAGAGGUUGACCCCCCACACUGGUACUGAGACACGGACCAGACUCCUACGGGAGGCAGCAGUGAGGAAUAUUGGUCAAUGGGCGAGAGCCUGAACCAGCCAAGUCGCGUGAAGGAAGACGGUUCUAUGGAUUGUAAACUUCUUUUGUAGAGGAAUAAUGGCGGUUACGCGUAACCGAGAUGCAAGUACUCUACGAAUAAGCAUCGGCUAACUCCGUGCCAGCAGCCGCGGUAAUACGGAGGAUGCGAGCGUUAUCCGGACUUAUUGGGUUUAAAGGGUGCGUAGGUGGCUUGUUAAGUCAGUGGUGAAAAGCUGCAGCUCAACUGUAGUCUUGCCGUUGAAACUGACGGGCUAGAGAGGAAACGAGGUAUGCGGAAUGUGUGGUGUAGCGGUGAAAUGCAUAGAUAUCACACAGAACGCCGAUUGCGAAGGCAGCGUACCAGGCUCUAUCUGACACUGAAGCACGAAAGCGUGGGGAUCAAACAGGAUUAGAUACCCUGGUAGUCCACGCAGUGAACGAUGAAUACUAGAUUUUUGCGAUAUAAUGUAAGAGUCUAAGCGAAAGCGAUAAGUAUUCCACCUGGGGAGUACGCCGGCAACGGUGAAACUCAAAGGAUUGACGGG